GAUUACCCGCUGAACUUAAGCAUAUCACUAAGCGGAGGAAAAGAGACUAACCAGGAUUCCCCUAGUAACGGCGAGUGAAGAGGGAAUAGCCCAGCACCGAAGCCUGCGGUAGGUUUACUGCUAGGCAAUGUGGUGUUUGGGUCGACUCGCGGGAUUGCCACUCCACUCGAAGUCCAGCACUGAGUAUGGUUCCCUGGAUUUGGCCCAGAGAGGGUGAAAGGCCCGUGCGAGUGGAGGUUCAGACAUGUGAGGCAAUUCACCAGGUCGACCUUCGAGUCGGGGUGUUUGGAAUGCAGC
This 297-nucleotide ribosomal RNA is filed under the name Spirometra erinaceieuropaei. Its description in RNAcentral is "partial 28S ribosomal RNA". It matches the Rfam family "Eukaryotic large subunit ribosomal RNA", at positions 19 to 286 of the family's 3401-position model. Lineage: Eukaryota; Metazoa; Platyhelminthes; Cestoda; Diphyllobothriidea; Diphyllobothriidae. The record is from RNAcentral.